Long non-coding RNA from Aquila chrysaetos chrysaetos, 1044 nucleotides. RefSeq lists it as uncharacterized. Lineage: Eukaryota; Metazoa; Chordata; Aves; Accipitriformes; Accipitridae. The record is from RefSeq and is a predicted model, not a curated record. The transcript has 3 exons.
CUGAACUCUGUGGGCUGGAACAGCAAAGGCAUGAAUAAUUGAUGCAAGGUAAGGAGAAAGCACUGCGAGCUACAGCUGAGACACUAGUUGGCCAAGUUUGUGAAGCUCUACACUUGGCUAAGUCCAUGUUUCUGUGUGUUGUAUUCAGCACUGUAACUCUGAAACACUUCAGCUAGCCAGUUUUAGGGAACAUAUCCUCAGUGAGAAUUACCCUACCUUGAUAAAAACUAAGAAAGGGAAGGAAAACCUGUUGUAGACAUAUGGACUCUCUUUUCACCAGCCAGCAGUCACAACUGCAACUGCCUAGAGCUCGUACAAAAGGCUGUGGCACCCAUCAACAUCUGCUCUCUUGCGUUCAGCUAUGGCCACUCUCCAGAGGAUGUUUACGAUGUUGACAUGCCGACUGACUUCUUUCGGAGAUGAAAAGACCCUAACGACAACACUACAGAGGUGCUCAUGCUACCCUUGACUGGGGAAUCUUGGCACGGGUGAAAGGACUAGCAGAGGAGAGGAAGCCUUUGCUGAGUGGCAGAAGAGGGAGAGGACGGUCACAUCACCCCAGGACGUGGCGAGGGGCAGAACGAGGUGGGCGAGAGUCUGUCCCUGCCACGACUGGCUGCAAAAGGGGCAGCUGCUACAAUAAAAGAGGAAAAAAGGCAGGAGGAAAAGGGACAGAUUGAGAGGCCUGCCAAGACUGUGAUGGAAUUCUGGCUUAAAGGACAAUGCACAAGCCUUUUCCAGGUCUGAGAGGAAAGAUAACUAAAGACGUAGCCAGCAGAACGACAAGGUGCUCAGCAGUAUUAUGGAUGGUAGCGGGAGGACCAGAGCUCUCUGAUGGACUGGACAACGUUGGCAGAUUGAUUCGAUUACUAAGAGUUGGCUCUCGGCUGUACUCUCCUCUGCAGUAACGAAGCUGGGAAGCCCAAGACAGGGCACUGCCAUGUAAGCAGGUGGCUCUAACAAGAGAAACCUGUGUGUUUUACACACGGAAAAAAGUCUUUGAGCUCGAUAUUUGCUUUUGUUUCACAGUAGAUGAGAAAGGCU